Molecule: ribosomal RNA, 254 nt
Filed under: uncultured bacterium
Lineage: Bacteria
Description: partial small subunit ribosomal RNA
Rfam family: Bacterial small subunit ribosomal RNA
Source: RNAcentral
AGGACGAACGCUGGCGGCGUGCUUAACACAUGCAAGUCGAGCGGAAAGGCCCUUCGGGGUACUCGAGCGGCGAACGGGUGAGUAACACGUGAGCAACCUGCCCUUAGCUUCGGGAUAGCUCCGGGAAACCGGAAUUAAUACCGAAUAUGAUUUUUGCUGACAUCAGCAGAAGUGGAAAGUUUUUCGGCUAGGGAUGGACUCGCGGCCUAUCAGCUAGUUGGUGAGGUAACGGCCCACCAAGGCGACGACGGGUA